Molecule: long non-coding RNA, 524 nt
Organism: Neopsephotus bourkii (Bourke's parrot)
Lineage: Eukaryota; Metazoa; Chordata; Aves; Psittaciformes; Psittacidae
Exons: 2
Source: RefSeq, a predicted model, not a curated record
CACGAGAUGCUCUUACCUGGCUACAGUCCACUUUGCUAUUCCUUUCUUGAAGACCUGUGGGCCUCAUUGACUACCUGACAGGCUGCCUGUUUGAGAAAGUGCCCUUAAAGCGAUGGAUGAAAGAGCCCCAGGACCUGCGAAGGGCUGGAAGAGCUUCUGUCAGCUGCCAUGGGAUUAGGUCAAACUAUACGGGAUCAGGAAGGAUGGCACCGCUCAAGAUAUUGGUCCAAAUUUGUACACCUGAUUGAAACUCCGCAAAGCCUGAGAACUUACACAGAGAUAACUCAUUGUUAUACUUAAUGGGAGGUUGGUUGUAUUGCAUCAGGUUCCCUUUAGGUUGCAGAGUAGUUGGACAAAGCAGAUUCUUGCCACACCAACAGGCAUCCUUUAAAAGCCUGGAAAUACUUCUGUAUAAAGAGAGACCACAGCUGCUUGAUUCAGAAAGCAGAUAAAAAAGUAAAUGUAUGAAUAGAGUCAAUAUGGAGUGGAAGAUGAACAAAAUAAUAAAUGUAAUAGAAAAUCAA